This 566-nucleotide ribosomal RNA is filed under the name uncultured bacterium. Its description in RNAcentral is "partial 16S ribosomal RNA". It matches the Rfam family "Bacterial small subunit ribosomal RNA", at positions 355 to 931 of the family's 1533-position model. The record is from RNAcentral.
UGGGGAAUAUUGCACAAUGGGCGAAAGCCUGAUGCAGCAACGCCGCGUGCGGGAUGACGGCCUUCGGGUUGUAAACCGCUUUCAGCAGGGACGAAGGUUUUCUGACGGUACCUGCAGAAGAAGCACCGGCUAACUACGUGCCAGCAGCCGCGGUGAUACGUAGGGUGCGAGCGUUGUCCGGAAUUAUUGGGCGUAAAGAGCUUGUAGGCGGUCCGUUGCGUCGGAAGUGAAAACUCAGGGCUUAACCCUGAGCCUGCUUUCGAUACGGGCGGACUUGAGGGAUGUAGGGGAGAACGGAAUUCCUGGUGGAGCGGUGGAAUGCGCAGAUAUCAGGAGGAACACCAGUGGCGAAGGCGGUUCUCUGGACAUUUCCUGACGCUGAGAAGCGAAAGCGUGGGGAGCAAACAGGCUUAGAUACCCUGGUAGUCCACGCCGUAAACGGUGGGCACUAGGUGUGGGACCCAUUCCACGGGUUCCGUGCCGUAGCUAACGCAUUAAGUGCCCCGCCUGGGGAGUACGGCCGCAAGGCUAAAACUUAAAGGAAUUGACGGGGUCAUGAGCUGUUU